CAGGUCUGAAUGAGUCUCUCUACCUGAUGUCCCCAGGUCUGAAUGAGUCUCUCUACCUGAUGUCCCCAGGUCUGAAUGAGUCUCUCUACCUGAUGUCCCCAGGUCUGAAUGAGUCUCUCUACCUGAUGUCCCCAGGUCUGAAUGAGUCUCUCUACCUGAUGUCCCCAGGUCUGAAUGAGUCUCUCUACCUGAUGUCCCCAGGUCUGAAUGAGUCUCUCUACCUGAUGUCCCCAGGUCUGAAUGAGUCUCAACCUGUUGUCCCCAGAUCUGAACGAGUCUCGGGUCUGAACGAGUCUCGGAUUACAGGUAGAGGAUGAGAACCAGUAGUGUUUCGUCCCUCCAGGACCAGAAAGAAAUAGCCCUUGGCUAGAUUCAAUCUGAUCCGCAGAAGAUCCGGGUUAUAGUUCACCUUUAAAAAAAACCAAAAAGGUAAUUUACGAUUGAGCCUACUGUUAACGUGGAAACUUUACCUUUUAAUAAGGUGCACAGCCGAAAAGAGGAGAUCGGAUUUGAAUCUAGGAACAGCUUCCUCCCUCCCUCCAGUCCUAACGAGGGGUGAGAGAUAUAUAUAUAUAUGGGUCCCGUGUGGCUCAGUUGGUAGAGCAUGGGUGUUUGCAACGCCAGGGUUGUGGGUUCGAUUCCCACGGGGGACCAAUACGUGGGGGGGGGGGGAAAUGUCUGAAAUGUAUGCAUUCACUACUGUAAGUCGCUCUGGAUAAGAGCGUCUGCUAAAAUAACUAAAAUGUAAAUGUUAAUAACUGAUCUAGGAUCAGUUUCCUCCCUCCAGUCCUAACAGGUCACCAUUAGAGAGGUGAUAUAUAUAACUGAUCUAGGAUCAGUCCUAACAGGUCACCAUUAGAGAGGUGAUAUAUAUAUAUAACUGAUCUAGGAUCAGUCCUAACAGGUCACCAUUAGAGAGGUGAUAUAUAUAUAUAACUGAUCUAGGAUCAGUCCUAACAGGUCACCAUUAGAGAGGUGAUAUAUAUAUAUAUAUAUAUAUAUAUAACUGAACUAGGACCAGUGUUAAACAGAGCUGAAUGUCUGUCUGGUUCAUACCAUUUAUGAUGCUGAUGUAUUGUUAUUAUAAUGACAUUAAAUUAUUGAAUGUUUCUGUC
Salmo salar (Atlantic salmon) is the source of this 1115-nucleotide non-coding RNA. The record is from RefSeq and is a predicted model, not a curated record. NCBI's taxonomy places the organism in Eukaryota, Metazoa, Chordata, Actinopteri, Salmoniformes, Salmonidae.